This is a long non-coding RNA of Maylandia zebra (zebra mbuna), 220 nucleotides long. RefSeq lists it as uncharacterized. The record is from RefSeq and is a predicted model, not a curated record. Lineage: Eukaryota; Metazoa; Chordata; Actinopteri; Cichliformes; Cichlidae.
CUCAUGUUUAAAAUAGGCCGACCAAGAGCAAAAUAGAAGACAACAAUUUCUCAAAGGAGGUUCAAAACUAAUGCCUACAAGAUUACCAAGAGGAUGGUUCGGGGCUCUUACAUGACUCCGGGAAGUCAACACUUGGUGGAUGAGAUCCUUCACAGCAUGUUGUUUCUGGGCAAAAUCAACAACAUCCCCUUUUCUCCAGAAGAAAUCUUCCCUAAUCCUU